UACAUAUUGUCUCAGCAAAAAGACAAAAUAAAGAUGACAAAUUUAAAAAAGGUGAGAGUAGAACGAAUUUGAAUUAAAAGAAAUCCAGUACUUCAGAAAUUGUAUAUCGUUUGUAUAACGAUAAAUAUAAAAGAAUAAAAGAGAAGCUGCUAAUUUAAUCACCGUUGCAACUUAACCACAGUACUGGACACACUAGCGCUGAAAACGCGAAUAACGUCUGUCUGAUCGUACGCUUUUCAGUGAGCCGCGUCAGUUCGAUAAAGACCACAGUGGACCACAGUGAUUUACGGAGAGGAAGGCAAUAGACAUCGAAUGUAAUUAUCAAAUGUGCCUUCGAUUGAGCACAGUUAUCACUGAAGCACAAGUUUAUUACUGAAAAAAGAUUUGCUCGAUUAGCGAAUUAUCAGCGGACGAAGAGAAAUGGAAAAGACAGACGAGAACGAACAUAAUGCGUUGCGAGAAGUUUUAAGUGACGAAGAAUUGACGCAAAUCCCGGAAGGAUUCGUUAAGAAAUUAAAUGCGUUUUUCAACGAAAAAUUCGAACAGUACAUUACAGCUAAGGCGGUUUUUGAAACCAACAGGAAGAACUUUGACCACACUUCAGAAAAAUUACAAAAAGAGUUAACAGAAGAAAAGUCAAAUUUUGAGGAAUGCAAAGGAAAACUGACAUUAUCAGAGAAAUAUACUGAUGAAUUACAGUCUAGUUUGGAUGAAGCCAAAGGUGAAAUACAGAAAUUACAAGACACUGUUAAAAGAUUGGAAAAAGAAAAUGCAGACUUACGUAGACAUAGAGAUACAGUUGUGGAUGAGAGAGAUGCAUUGCAAUUGCAGGUUGAAAGACGAGAUACAGAAAUUGAACGAAUGCAUACAGAAUUAUCUUCCCUGGGAACACAGCUUCAAAAUGCUAUUGCUGCUAAAUGUCAAGCUUUAUCAGAAACAGAGGAAAUUCGGAGUCGUGACAUGACUCUUGACUUUAAAGAAAAACGAUUAGAGCAAGAAAGAGCUUUGAUUCAGCAACAAAUGGCAGGACUUGAGGAGGAAUUAGCAAAAAGAAUGUCAGAAUUGCAGGCAACAAGAGCAGAAGCAUCUGCGCGAGCUCUUUUAACUGACACUCGCUUGUCACAACGCGACGAAGAAUUACGUAUCGCUAAUGAAGCAGCAUCACAGUUGCGAGAGUCUUAUACAUCUAUCCAAAGACGCUGCGACGAGCUCGCUCAGAAACUAGAAGAACAGCGUACUCAAGAAAUUUCUAUGCAUGCUUCUUAUAGAGAAGAAAUUGGUGCCCAAACCAGAUUGGCUGAUCUUUACAAAGGUAUGGCCGAUGAAGCAAAUGCAAAGGCAGAAGAGUAUAGCAGUGCAGUUAAAGAACUUCAAGAACUAUUGGAACAUGCAACUGAACAAUAUGGAGCACUAGAAACUACACACAAUCAACUUCAGUUACAGCACAAAGAAGAGUUAGAAGAAAAGGAACAAAAGAUAGAUGAGCUCUCAAAAGAAUUGAUUCAUGCCAAUGAAUUACUUAAAAAUAUUAAACAAGAGAGAUUGGAUCAAGCUGUUGAACAACUUGCACCAACAGCAGCCAUAGCCAGUCGUGUGCUUAGGAAAGGUUUAAGCCUUACUCAAAUCUAUACACAGUUGGUUGAAGUGACAAAUGAAUUAACGUCAGAACGUAAUGAAAAAGAAAGCUUGAAAUCUCAGAUGGACGUUAUCUUACGAGAAUUGGAAGAAAAAGCGCCCAUUUUACAGCAACAACGUGAAGAUUAUGAUACUGCAAUGGCCAAUAUCACGACGCUUACAUCGAGGUUGGACGAACUUUUGGCAGAGAAUCAUAAAUUGCAAGAAACGACAGACGAAGCAAAUCGUAUUGCUAAACACCAUACUAAGGAAAAUCAAAGGCUGAAGACAGAGUUAUCAGACUUGGCACGACAAGUGUGCUUCUUACUGAAAGAAGUUCAGGAGAGUAGAAGUGGUAUAACUAUGCACUCAAAUGAUUUUUCGAACGCAAUGGAGAUAGACAACCUUGCUUCAUCAGAAAUUAUCAGUAAAAAGCUUGUCACAUUCAAAGAUAUUGAAGAAUUGCAAGAAAAUAACCAGAAAUUGUUAUCGAUAGUCCGUACAUUAUCAUCAAGGCAGGAAGAAAUUGAAAGAGCAACCGAUGAAAUAAAUUCUGGUGAAAUGAAAGAAAAAUUGGACAGAUAUCUAGAACAGUUAGAAGACAUGCAAACUGCCCAAGAUAGGCAAGCAAAAAUGUUGGAAGGCCUUCUAAGACAACGUGACAUGUAUAAAAAUAUGUACCAACAAUGUUUGAAGCAAACAAGUAUGUUGGAUAAAAAGGAGCUUUCUGUAGCACAGGAAGAUGAAGCAAAGGAUGUAGAUGGAGAGAAAUCUGUCAUCAACGAAUCGUCAAGAGCCACUCAGAAUAACGCCAAUACAGAAAAAGAAUUGAAAAAGCAAUUAGCCGAAUGUGAAGCUAAAUUAAAACAAUCUACAGACGAAUUUGAAACGUACAGACAGGAAAGAUCGGCUCAUGAACGAAUGUUAGGGGAAGAAGUUGAAAGGCUUAGAAAAGAAGCGGAAGCAAAUUCAACUCGUUGCUGUAGAUUGAAAGCACAGUUAGAUUCUGCAAACGAUAGGUUUAAUCUUCUGCAGGCAAACGUUACUUCUUACAGAUCUCAAAUAAAGGUGCUUGAAGAGAAAUGCUGUAAUUACAACGUAACAAUUGGUAAACAUGAACAAAGCUUAAUGAUUUUAAGAGAUGAAACCUUAGCGGCUCAAACGCGUUUGUCUCGUGCUGAAGUACAGUUAGAAAACAUGCGACAAGAGCGACAGCUUCUGCGUGAUUCAGAAAGUCGCCUUCUCAAGGAACGCGAAAUAUACCAGAGAGAACGUCAAACGCAAUCUCUAUUACGUGCAGAUGUCGAGUCCAUUAAAGCUAGUCUGGAGCGAGUUCAGGCCGAAGGUAAUCUGCGUGCAGAACAACGUUUGGAUGAUGCCAUAAGGGAGUGUGCAGCGUUGAGACGCCGAUUACAGGAAGAACAGGACCGAUUUAGAGAAUUGUCAACACAUUUGGAGAGGCAACUUGCCACAGCACAAGAAAGACUUGCAGAGGAACGCAAUGUAACGGAACAAAUUAGAGCUGAAUUGGAGCAGGCUCGUCAGUCUGAUUCUCAGAACACUCAGCGCAUAGAAGAACUGAAUACUAAACUUAGACAAGCCGUUACUCAUUCAAUAUCAAAGCCCUUCACUGGUGACGAAAAUCUCGUGAAGAGAUUAAAAGAAGUUGAAAUGCAGCUUGCGACCACACAGGCAGAAUCGAAAUCGUUGUCGGAACAAUUAAAAGCCGCGCGACAACAAAGCGAACAAUAUUGUAAUAUAGCUGAGAGUGCAGAGACGCAAUUAAGAGAACUAACCGCGCAGCAUAACAAAUGUAAAGAAGAAUUAGAAACCGCUUUGAAAGAAGCGCGUGUAGAAGUAAUGUCCUUGCAGAAAAGGGUGCAGGAGUUGGUAGAAGAAUUAGCAAAAGUUUCCAGUGGUAAACAAGAAACGGAUUCAGAGUUAAGAGCAAAAUUAGAUGAUGCAGAAAGAAAGCUUGAAGAAUUAGACGAAGUUAAAGGAGAAUUAGAGCUCUUUAAGAGUGAUUUGCAAAGCGCUUCAACAACUGCGAAAGAAGCUGAAGAAAAAUAUGCUAGAGAAAUGGUUUUACAUUCAGCAGAUCUUCAGACAUUAGCUAAGCUUAAAGAAGAAGCUCAAGUGGUAGAGCAGAAAAUUACAACAUUAACUCAAGAAAGAAAUGGCGCUGUAGAAGCUUUGGAAAUGGAGAGAUCAGCUUGUCAAGAAAGAGAGAAAAAAUUCCAAAAUGAGAUGCAGGAAAUGCAACAAAGGAUAGACGAUCUAGAUACACAAAAUGCCAUUUUACAUACACAAAUUCAAGAAUUAAGUGAUAAAACUGCGAUUAUGCACAGUCAGAAAACUAAGAUCAGCGGUCGGGAAAGUCCGGACACUAGCUUCGAAACACUGAAUCGUAGUUUCAGCAAACUGGAGGAUGACUCUAAAUCUCCGGAACAAUUGCUGAAAGUUAUGAAGUAUCUGAGACGUGAGAAAGAUUUGGCUGUAACGAAGUUUGAUGUUCUCAGAGCAGAAAAUCUUCGAUUGAAAUCACAAGUGGAGGUAUUGGAAAAAAGAUUAAAAGAAACAGUAUCACUUCUCAGCUCCGUAAGGGAGAAAUCCGAAAUCGAUGUAGUAACAACAUCUAAACACGCAGAGCUGCUACGGAAAGUUGAAACCUUGAAUGCGAUCACAGAUUCCAAUAGAAUUCUCAGGGAGGAAAGAGACAGUCUGGGUGGAAAGGUAGUAGAGCUUACCGCGAAAGUUGCGGCGCUUUCUGAAGAAGUGGGCCCGCUUCGGGACUCGACGCGAGACUUACAAGUGAAAACGGAAGCUUUAACACAAGAGAACACAAGUCUUAAAGCGGAAGCAACCAGAUGGAGACAGAGGGCUAACACAUUGGUAGAAAGAGCUAACAAAGCAAGUCCAGAAGACUGGCGUAGAUUGCAGACCGAACGUGAAAAUCUCAGCAAAUUACUCGCGUCUGAACGCGAAACGCACACUAAACGAGCAGAAGAAUUGAAUCAACUGAGAACAGAGAAGUCCAAACUGGACGAGCAAUUGAUACAGAUUCAGAAACAACUACAAGCCCAAGGAGAACAAAUUCAGAAAGGCUCUGAGGAAGUGCGCAAACUGGGUCAAGACUUGAACGAAGCACUUGCCGAUUCUAACACUAAGGCUAAAGAUCUGACAACGUUGAGAAAGGAACUUGCAGAUAAAGAAGCCGUUUUGAAUGAUAUUAAGAAUAAGGAGAUACAGAUUCGAAAAAUAGCGAAGAAAUAUAAGACCCAGUUUGAGGAACUAGCAAAGUCAGUGGAAGAAGAGAAGAGCAGAUCUGAAGAGUCUCGAAUUGCGGCUGGUACAUCCGGUAACGAAGAGACUUUGCAAGUGUCCCAAGAACGCGACGAUCAACUGCGAGAGGAGGGUCGGACGGAAUUACGCCAAGCGAACAUCGAGCUGACAACAAAAAUUGACGAAUUAUCUCGGCAAAUGGCUGCCGUGCAAAAUGAAGCUGAAGCAUUUAAAAAGGAAAUCGAUACGAUGAAUAAGACUAGCGUGGAGAAAGAAGAGCGUGCGAAACAAGUACUGAAAGGUGCUAGAACGAAAAUCAUGCAGUUGACAGAAUCAAAGAAGAUAUGUGAGAAAGAAUUGCUUGACCUAAAGUCGAAACUUGAGACAGGUGCUACUGAAUCAGAUACCGCUGAACAUGACGCUAGGCUGGUAGCACUUAAGUCUCAGAUGGAAGGUAGAAUCUCCCGUCUCGAACAUGAAAGAGCAGAAAUUCAGGCAGAGAAGGAAACUCUUUUACAAAGGGUUACUCAGUUGCAACGGCAAUUGGCUGGCGUCAGUGGAGUUAGUGCUACUACCGAACCGCCUACAGCCAACAUCAAGCCUAUGUCCGCGCGAGCUGAAACUCCAUUAGCAAGUAUUCGCCCGAUGAGCGUAGUUGUGCAGUCUAGAACAGCUGCAGUUUUACCCACAACUGCUAGUGCACCGGUAAUGGUAGCGCCUCAUCAGCAACAGCAGCCGCAGCAACAGGUAGUGCAUACUACCGAAACUAGCUCCCCAACCAGUAGUCUGCCAGAUUUUCAACCAGCUAGCACCAGUAGCUCGUCACAGACAGCACCCAGCACAUUACGUCAACUCGUUGUGCAGCCGCAGUUAAGCGAAUCAGCAGAAUCAACGCAAAGAGAGGACCCAGAAAGUGCCGAAACCCUGAAUGUACAGCAACAACAGUGUCAGCAGCAACAGCAACAGCAACAACAGCAAACUGUUGCGUUGGUCAGUCCAAGGGUCGAACAACAACAGCAGCAGCAACAACAACAGCAACCUGCAGCCAGCGAUCAACAACAGACUGUAGCCAGUAGUUCAACCCAGUCGGUGAGCACGUCCCAAGCGUCUACAGGACACAAACGCCCCAGGACUCUGGAUUCGACGGCAUCAGGAUCUGGAAUCGAGGGUAUAGAUCAUAGCAGGCAAGAACAGGCGCUUAGUCCCAAGGCCAAACGGACCAGGCAAGAAAUCGCGUCCACUGCCAGUGCUAGUGCUUCAGAGGUCGAGUACCAGGUACCAACGUCGAGCCAACGGGAUCAAGAUGAAGAAGUAGAAGAAGGGUGUGUAGUUGUAGUAGACUGUGAUGAAGGCGAGGGAGGAGGUAAUCAUCAAGCACAAGAAGAGGAAGAAUUUGAUAAUGAUCCGUAUGAAGAGAUGGAAGAGGAAGAAGAGAUGCCAUAUGAGGUUGAGGUAGAAGUAGAAAGGGAUAACAACGAAGUUGAAAUUAUCAUGGGCGAAGAUUCUACAAGUGUAGAAGUUCCUAGACAAGCACAAGUAACGGUACCUACAAAUCAGCAACAACAACAGUCUGAAGCGAUAAGUAGUGCGGGACCAACUGGAGAACCGCCCACGUCAUUUACAACACGAUCGUCGCGUGGAAUUGCACCCAUGCCUAGGCAACAGCAACAGCAACAUCUGCUUUUGCCUCAACAAGGAUACGAAGACGGGGGUGACGACAGUAUAGUACCAAGUACACCGACUCUGUUCGUUCCACGUCGUGGAGACGGAUUUGGAGAAGCUGUUAGUUCACCCCAAGUUCCACAAGGCCGUUUUACAUUUGGAGAUUCAUCUGCACCGACGACGGCGUCGCCAACGCCAUCCUUGUCUACUCCUUCGGGAUCAGCAGCUCGAACAAUAUUCGGUUCAUCGAGUUCCAGUGUGGCACAGGUGGUUCAAGAGAGUAUGGACGAUAGUAGAAUGGAUCUGCUUCAAUUAGAAGACGGCGGUACUGGUCGUAGUGUACCCACUACACCUUUACAAGUUUCGCCAGCAGCUGAUUUACCGCCUUCGACAAGCAGUGGACCAUCCGAAGAGCAGGAAACACCGGUUUCAGUGACACCCGUGUCUGUAACAGGUACCACAGUUGGUGACACUAGUGAAGAACCUGCGAUACCUAGUAUUCGUGUAGUCGGUGUCGAUGAUCAACAACAUAGUCAAACUGAAAUAAUCACAGAAUCUAUGACACCUACUGAAGGUAUGAGUUCCGAGAGUGAAAAACAUACAGAAGAAGCUGGUCCUGCAGUAUCUGGGGAAGAUGAUACGGUAGACACUGGUGAAGGAACUGAAGAACCUGGAAGUGAGGUGGUGGAGGAUGAAGUGGAGGAGGAGAACCGCGAGGCAGAAGCAUCCCCCUCUAGUAAUACACGUCAGAGAGCAAUGGCAGCUGCAGCUGCAGCUGCUGGGGUUGGAACCGCUGCAAAUGGCACCAGAAGUGCAACUGCAAGACGGUCUUCGCGAUCGCCGUUUAGAGCUCAACGUGGUUCUCGACCUACACCUAUUGUUUGGGAGAGCCAAUCUGGUAGGGGACAACCUGUAGUACGCGGAGGACAUGCGGCAAGGGGGUCAAACAAUGAAACCGGAAGAGGACGUGCAACCCGAGGACGUCGAAUGCGCUCCAAAUAUCCGUCGUACGCGCGAUUCUAAGAGUAGAAGUUGAUUUUGUAUACGAUGCCAUCUGAAAACUACGGAUCACUGUCUUCGUAAUGUCAUUUUUAUGUGGUUGUUGUUCGACUGUCAUCGACCAUUGGAGGGACUUUUAUGUGACGCAUUCGUACGUGAGACAUUUUUCAAACAUUAGUCGACUUUCACGCUUUUAGGCAGAGCCAUAUCAUAAACAUUUUUAAUGAAAAUAUUUUGUCAGAAUGUACAAGGAGUGUCUUAGUUUUUAAAGGUACGUUUUCUUUCUAUACGUUUUACAGAUUUAAUUGAAUCCUACGUAGCUUCCACGUGUCGGUGAUAAAUAUUAAUAAAUACCUAUGAUUUACAAAACGCCUACUCGAAUAGAGUUCGAUAUCGAUUACGAAAUUAUCAUAAAUACGAGGUACCGAGGCCCGGUACAAAUAUAAUACAAUGUAUAUUUUAUAUUCUCUACAUCAGUCUCUUGUCUGAUUUAACAUAUUGCCAACGAUAUUUAAUUAAUACUUUUCGAAUACUUAACAUGUACCGCGUUAUUCCGUGAAAGUAUUUUAAAUUACCGGCAAGAAUAUAUAAAUACUGAGACGCGUAAAUGUAUCUAAUAACUCACACACGUUUCAAUAAUAUGAUAGUUCCGAUGUUGUCAUGUCAUUAAAAUAAUAUCACAACGGCAAAUAAAUAAGCUCUUUGCUAGAGAUUUUACCGUAACUUCUAACAUAUAUUAAUACGUUCUGGUCCCCUUUUCAUUUCGAUGAACUACUCAGUUAAUAGCAAUAAAUAUGACUAGCUAAAUGGAUUAUUUACAUAU
This 8380-nucleotide unclassified non-coding RNA is filed under the name Dufourea novaeangliae. Its description in RNAcentral is "nucleoprotein TPR-like, transcript variant X4". The record is from RNAcentral. Lineage: Eukaryota; Metazoa; Arthropoda; Insecta; Hymenoptera; Halictidae.